GAAACGCGAUAGUUAAUGUGAAUUGCAGAAUUCAGUGAAUCAUCGAGUCUUUGAACGCACAUUGCGCCUUCCGGUAUUCCGGGAGGCACGCCUGUCUGAGCGUCAGUCAAACCCCUCCGGCCCCCGGUUUCACAGCCGGCGGGCGCGGGAGCAUUGGCGCGGGGAUCCCCGGCCGCCGCGUUUCGGCGCGGCCGGCCCCUCCCCCGCCUAAACGCGUGGAAAGCUAGCGGGCGGAAGCCCCCAUCGCGACGACUCGUAGAUUUUUACAACGUCGGCCGCCGAAGGGAUCCGCCAGCCUAACCCUCGGGGCUCACGCCCCCAGAAUCCUGACCUCAGAUCAGGCGAGGAUACCCGCUGAACUUAA
This 364-nucleotide unclassified non-coding RNA is filed under the name uncultured Ascomycota. RNAcentral describes it as "sequence contains ITS1". The stretch from base 1 to 105 matches the Rfam family "5.8S ribosomal RNA", at positions 50 to 154 of the family's 154-position model. The record is from RNAcentral. Lineage: Eukaryota; Fungi; Ascomycota.